RNAcentral lists this ribosomal RNA (301 nucleotides) under uncultured bacterium. Its description in RNAcentral is "partial 16S ribosomal RNA". It matches the Rfam family "Bacterial small subunit ribosomal RNA", at positions 509 to 807 of the family's 1533-position model. The record is from RNAcentral.
CAGCAGCCACGGUAAUACAAAGGGUGCAAGCGUUAACCGGAAUUACUGGGCGUAAAGCGUGCGUAGGCGGUUUGUUAAGUCUGUUGUGAAAUCCCCGGGCUCAACCUGGGAAUGGCAAUGGAUACUGGCAAGCUAGAGUGUGUCAGAGGAUGGUGGAAUUCCCGGUGUAGCGGUGAAAUGCGUAGAGAUCGGGAGGAACAUCAGUGGCGAAGGCGGCCAUCUGGGACAACACUGACGCUGAGGCACGAAAGCGUGGGGAGCAAACAGGAUUAGAUACCCCCGUAGUCCCUGUCUCUUAUAC